RNAcentral lists this ribosomal RNA (253 nucleotides) under uncultured bacterium. RNAcentral describes it as "partial 16S ribosomal RNA". It matches the Rfam family "Bacterial small subunit ribosomal RNA", at positions 524 to 776 of the family's 1533-position model. The record is from RNAcentral.
UACGGAAGGGGCGAGCGUUGUUCGGAAUCAUUGGGCGUAAAGGGCGUGUAGGUGGUUCUGUAUGUCUACCGUGAAAGCGUACGGCUCAACCGUAUUUAGUCGGUAGAAACUGCAGGACUUGAGGCUGGGAGGGGCCGGUGGAAUUCCCCGUGUAGCGGUGAAAUGCGUAGAGAUGGGGGAGAACACUCGUGGCGAAGGCGGCCAGCUAGACCAGUUCUGACACUGAGGCGCGACAGCGUGGGGAGCAAACAGG